Molecule: small RNA, 1593 nt
Filed under: Pan troglodytes (chimpanzee)
Lineage: Eukaryota; Metazoa; Chordata; Mammalia; Primates; Hominidae
Description: processed transcript
Source: RNAcentral
UGUAAUGGCCGCCAUCAGGGACUCGCAGGCAAUGGGGGACUACGACAGAUAUCAUCUCUUCUUUUGAUCACUGUUCCUGAUUGUGACAUUGUGCAAGUGUUAAAUUGUGUGCCUUUUGUUCCUGAAGAAAGAGAUGUCUCUUACUGUUUGUGUUGGAUAGGUCCUGGGAUCUUUGAAAUGCUAAGAUUCUUGGAUACCACAGUAUCAUAAAAUUCCUCUAAAUGCAGUAAGGAAACAAGUGGGAGAAGAUGCCAGGAUAACGCAGCUGGAAGCGACAGUGCUGUGUUAGAACCCAGGCCUAUCAGACUCUAGGAUCCAGCCUCGACCACUCCCUGAUACACUACAUGGCUUCGUUGUACUUACUUGGCAGAGGUAUGGGUUUUUGGUGGAUUUGUCUGCAAGAAAGAAUUUCAGAUAAUUAAAGGACAAAGCACAAUAUGAGUAAGUUUGACUUUUUGUUUACACUGAUGAUGCUGUGAACAGGCACAUCACAAAUAAAUCAAUACAAAUGGCCAAUAAAAUGUAUCUAAAGAUAGAAGAGGCACCAAAACCUUAGAUAAGUAAGACUCUUCCUUUUAGUUUUGAAAAAGGAGGAAAUCUUGACUAAAGUAUUGUAUUUUAGUCAAGUUCAAUAAUUAACCCAAUUAGUAGGUCUCUGCAACUCUACACAGUUAUUUUAAAGUUGCUCAACACCUUUUAACAUGUAACUGCAAAACAAUGAAAUGUUGGAUUUUUACCUAGCACUGCAAGUCAGUGUCACUGUGCAGUGAAACAAUGCACAUGUUAAUUCCUGCAGCAACAAGAGGAAACUGAUCUUUAAAGGAAAGGAUUCUUACUUCUGGGCAGGAGGAAACACUGGUGACUGCACAGCUUCUUGUCUGUGACUUGACCCUCGGUGGCGUUCAGCAGGUAUAGGUUUUUCUGGAUCAGGGAAAUUAUCAUAUUAGGAUUAGAGUGAAAUGUCUGUCCUCAUCCCAAAACCCAGCAACAUCAGCUGAGAAGAACCAAAUUUGAUCAGAAGUCUUCCUGGGAACAUGUCUUAGUUACUGAGAUGUCAUGGAUCUGUGCACUUGCCAGUCUGUUGAUGUGGUUGUGCUAUUAGGACCAGGACUCCCUCCCAGCAGUGUUACAGGUACAUCCUACCACCUCUGCAUUCAUCCACUGGCAAUGUACAUAGAGACUGAACCCACGGGCCCUGAAACUUUAAGUGUGUGAGUAUAGGUGGAAGCCAGAAGAUGAGAACAUUUUAGCCACCCUCUAAACAACUCACCCUCUACUUGCCAUGUGGCCUCCACACAGGUGGAGACAACACCCUGGUGGGUCUUGAUUAGUCAUAAGACAUGGUAUAAGCAGUGUGUUACUGAUAAGAGGCACACUGCUGAGUUCAUAAAUGAUCUCUUUUUGCAAAAUUAAUUGGAUCAAAUUCAAGGUUAUCCCUAUAAUAAUGCAAAUCUCGCUUGCAUUUCAGUGUUUUCCUGAGCAGAAGAGGAAAGGGUGGGAAAUGAGCAUAAACCUGAAGUGUAAGAAAUUUAUGUUGAAGCCCAUAGUGAACUCUACUGCUGAACCAUUAAUAAAUGUGAUCACAAAUUAUUU